Molecule: ribosomal RNA, 571 nt
Filed under: uncultured organism
Description: bacterial SSU rRNA
Rfam family: Bacterial small subunit ribosomal RNA
Source: RNAcentral
GAGUUUGAUCAUGGCUCAGAUUGAACGCUGGCGGCAGGCCUAACACAUGCAAGUCGAGCGGCAGCACGGGUACUUGUACCUGGUGGCGAGCGGCGGACGGGUGAGUAAUGCCUAGGAAUCUGCCUGGUAGUGGGGGAUAACGCUCGGAAACGGACGCUAAUACCGCAUACGUCCUACGGGAGAAAGCAGGGGACCUUCGGGCCUUGCGCUAUCAGAUGAGCCUAGGUCGGAUUAGCUAGUUGGUGAGGUAAUGGCUCACCAAGGCGACGAUCCGUAACUGGUCUGAGAGGAUGAUCAGUCACACUGGAACUGAGACACGGUCCAGACUCCUACGGGAGGCAGCAGUGGGGAAUAUUGGACAAUGGGCGAAAGCCUGAUCCAGCCAUGCCGCGUGUGUGAAGAAGGUCUUCGGAUUGUAAAGCACUUUAAGUUGGGAGGAAGGGCAGUUACCUAAUACGUAUCUGUUUUGACGUUACCGACAGAAUAAGCACCGGCUAACUCUGUGCCAGCAGCCGCGGUAAUACAGAGGGUGCAAGCGUUAAUCGGAAUUACUGGGCGUAAAGCGCGCGUA